UGUUAUAAAUUUCAUCCUUUUCUAUUAUUAAGAACUAAUAUGACUGACAGAAAAACCAAAUAAUGACAUGUGUACCUCAUGUCAACGUACAAGAACCAAUUUUUAACAAUAAAAAUAGAUAAAAUCUUUAACA
RNAcentral lists this microRNA precursor (133 nucleotides) under Gossypium arboreum. RNAcentral describes it as "MIR7502 microRNA precursor family". It matches the Rfam family "MIR7502 microRNA precursor family". The record is from Rfam by way of RNAcentral. Lineage: Eukaryota; Viridiplantae; Streptophyta; Magnoliopsida; Malvales; Malvaceae.